UACGUUUAUUACGGAAAGGGUAGGUACAAUACGAUGACGUCACGCAUCCGAGCCUCCGGUGAGAAGAAACCCGGAAGUAUCGCCGUGAAUCUCAUGAGAGUUGUGAAUGCGAUGUUGUGUAUUAGGCUGUAUAAUAUUAACGUAAAGAGAGUGAUAAUAUAACCUUUCAUCGCUUCCGAAAGUGACUAAAAGGGAUAUUGGACCUUAUUUUCAGAUUACAGACAACACGAGAGGGUGCUUCAAACUUUUUAAUCAGGACUGCAUUGUUUGUUCACUCCCGGUGUUACACAGACUGAAACGAGGAAGUGUGACAAGUUUGUUUACAUGGUGCUGUAAACUCCAACCCAGGAGGACACUUCAGAGGAAUCAAGGUGUCUGUGAUAUUGAAACACUAAAGGAAGAAGAGGAGGACCACCAUUCGUUUCCUGAUCAGAACACGAGAGAAGAAUCUAACAGUGGUUUGGGGGCAUUGCAAGACUAUGAUUACCUGGAAACAUCUCCUAUUAUGGAAGAUUAUUGCAACAUUUGUGUCUUGGAUCAGUUUUUCUUGUUUCUCUGCCGUAUGAGGCAGGGGCUUCUUUCCGCAGAUUUAGCUGUAAGGUUUAAAGGUCCCGUUUAUCCUGAUCCCAUUUUUUAAACUUUAGUUGGUGUGUAAUGUUGCUGUUAGAGCAUAAAUAAUAUCUGUAAAAUUAUAAAGCUCAAAAUUCUAUACCAA
Misgurnus anguillicaudatus (oriental weatherfish) is the source of this 715-nucleotide non-coding RNA. The record is from RefSeq and is a predicted model, not a curated record. Lineage: Eukaryota; Metazoa; Chordata; Actinopteri; Cypriniformes; Cobitidae.